Molecule: ribosomal RNA, 252 nt
Filed under: Priestia megaterium
Lineage: Bacteria; Bacillati; Bacillota; Bacilli; Caryophanales; Bacillaceae
Description: Bacillus megaterium partial 23S ribosomal RNA
Rfam family: Bacterial large subunit ribosomal RNA
Source: RNAcentral
CCUUAGUACGAGAGGACCGGGAUGGACACACCGCUGGUGUACCAGUUGUCUUGCCAAAGGCAUCGCUGGGUAGCUAUGUGUGGACGGGAUAAGUGCUGAAAGCAUCUAAGCAUGAAGCCCCCCUCAAGAUGAGAUUUCCCAUAGCGUAAGCUAGUAAGAUCCCUGAAAGAUGAUCAGGUUGAUAGGUCAGAGGUGGAAGCGUGGCGACAUGUGUAGCUGACUGAUACUAAUCGAUCGAGGACUUAACCAAAC